Long non-coding RNA from Equus caballus (horse), 1977 nucleotides. NCBI's taxonomy places the organism in Eukaryota, Metazoa, Chordata, Mammalia, Perissodactyla, Equidae. The record is from Ensembl.
GUACCAGACUGAGCACAAAGCCCUCCUGUUUCCCAGGACACGCACAGCAUCACCGACCUUUAUCUGUCCAGGAAAGCUCAUGUGACUCGGUGUUAAGAUGAGGGUGACUGGUUGUCUGCAUGGGUUGCAGAGCCUGAGCCUAAAGGUGCCAAGGUCACAGGCAGCAUACACUCUUUCAUGUCUCUCUAGUCCCUUUACCCUGAUGGUUCAGCUGUCUCCUUAAGACCAUAGUCUGGCAUCUACCCCCAGAUAACUGAGUCUUUAUGAACACUGCAUGCCCUAUAAGAGAGAGAGUGGCUAGGCCAGAGGAACUCCAUGACCUACAUCACCUGUGCUGGGAAGGUAACUAAGACACACACAAGAGGAUGGGGCACACGUUGUCUUGUGAAGUCUUAGGAAGUGGGGGUUCUGACGUCACAGGUAGUAAGGUGGGCAGUAUCUAGAGGUUCAGGAAGAGGACCAUGUCCGAUGUGGGAAGGAAGGGACACAGCCGCUGUCCUCUUAAAUAGCUUCCUGAGAGUUAAAUAAGGACUCCUUUCAGCCUGUGGUCAAGCUUGAGACAGGUGAGAAGAAACGUAAACAAUGCCUUCCAUGGAGGCCCAAGAUGAGGCUCACUUCUGAAGCUGGAUUUUCCAGAACAGCCUCUACAGAUCUUAGAGCAUCCUGCCCACCCACGGAGAUGGGUUAUUGGUCCAGCAUCAGGCGUUGAGCGUUCGGCCAUCCCCAGAACCUUAGGGUGGGCCUGUCUCCCUCGCCAGUGGGAUGAAGAGGAGGACCCAUUCAAGAAAUUUUGGAAUUCAUACUAAAUCAUGGUCAAAAAUGAAACUAAGUUGCAACCAGACUGUGCCUAAUGCAGAACGUUUCCGAAGAGCUGUUUCCAGGUCUUUGACUGCGAGGCUCCUUUUGUAGGGUUAGUUUGUCAGGCGUCUAUCAUCAUAGCUGACAACUUGAUCCUCGUCAUCUUUCCCACACAGACCAUUAUUAUGCCUUCAGCAGUGACCAAGAGAAAAAUACUUUUAUACAGGAGGGACAAGUCAGAAAGAUUCAGGAUGUUGCAAUUCAGAAGGCUGAGCUCUGACCCUCAGCCCUUGAACUCACGGUUGAUGAGAAGCCAUGACUAAAAUUCUACAGCAGCACAUCAUAGACAUGAGCAAGACAAAGUUGGCCAACAGUUGCUCCUGAAGCAUCUGGUACAACCCCAGGUCAAGAGGAUGACAAAUAUGAUUACAAGUAUACUAAAGAAGAUGAUUUUUAUGACUUUAUCAUCACCAGAGGUGGACUGGAGUAAACAAGAAAACCAUCCAACAAAACCCAAGCAGGCAUCUGCAUAAUUCUGGACAAAUUGAAUAAUCCUUUUUCUUCCUCUGUAACAGUUACCUGUACUUGGUAUUUUAUUAUCCCAACUUGCUGGAGAGUGUCCUGGAUUUCCUGGGUUGCCAGAUCUAAACUCCGUUAAGGUCAUUCAUUUUCCAUAAGCCCUACCUCGGUAGGGAGUCUUAGUUCUAGUUCCCAAUAGGCGUAAUCCUCCUCAUCAGUGUUGUCUUAGGUCUUGUUACCCUCUGGUAGAUGGAUUUUCUCUAUGACUCCUGUGUUACACUAAAUACUGUAAGAAUUCAUUAUAAAUGCAGUCUGGUGGCAAUAACGAUCUUCCAGUUGCACAGUAGGAUUCAUGGUUCCUUCCCAACAAAAUCAUCCCUUCCCCAUAGACCAAAUAUUGUUCUGAAUAGAGGUCUUUAUUAUAGGCCAGUUAAAGCUAUUUCAGAGUUCCAUUGUUCUUCUGGGAAUAGCCAUAUUCCAUUAUGUUGUUUACAUUCUAGGACUGAAAUUGUUUCCCAUUGGGGUAAGGUUCUAUUUGAGGUAAAAAGGGCCCAGAGACCCCCUAUGGGGAGUAUCUGAUAGUUGUCAUAGUUAGUACCUAUUCCAACAAGCUGUACUACUUCAUGUUUCCUGUUUGGUUCUAGCCUGGGUGCUAAGGUG